This 333-nucleotide unclassified non-coding RNA is filed under the name soil metagenome. Its description in RNAcentral is "partial contains 5.8S ribosomal RNA, internal transcribed spacer 2, and large subunit ribosomal RNA". The stretch from base 1 to 120 matches the Rfam family "5.8S ribosomal RNA", at positions 35 to 154 of the family's 154-position model. The record is from RNAcentral.
GAUGAAGAACGUAGCGAAAUGCGAUACGUAAUGUGAAUUGCAGAAUUCAGUGAAUCAUCGAAUCUUUGAACGCACAUUGCGCCCGCCAGCACUCUGGCGGGCAUGCCUGUUCGAGCGUCAUUUCAACCAUCAAGCCCCAGGCUUGCGUUGGAGCCCUGCGGCUGCCGCAGCCUCCUAAAAGCAGUGGCGGGCUCGCUAUCACACCGAGUGCAGUAGAUUACUCUUCGCUCAGGGCGUGCAGCGGGUUCCGGCCGUGAAACCCCCUACUUUUAAAGGUUGAUCUCGGAUCAGGUAGGAAUACCCGCUGAACUUAAGCAUAUCAAUAAGCGAGGA